Molecule: long non-coding RNA, 747 nt
Filed under: Notechis scutatus (mainland tiger snake)
Lineage: Eukaryota; Metazoa; Chordata; Lepidosauria; Squamata; Elapidae
Description: lncRNA (ENSNSUG00000018712.1)
Source: RNAcentral
CACAAGGAACAAUUCCUACAGAUGUGCAGAGAACUCACUGGCACAAAUUUCCCGGAGGAGAACAGUGAAAAGAGUUCCCAUGAUUCUUCCAAGAAUGAAGCACCGCAGCCGCUCCAAAAUCCAGACCCACCGGAAAUUGAGAGAAAGCCCAGCAAAUUACGAGAAGCCACAGAUGAUGGCAGCCUGCCUCUCUCCCCAACAGGCGGUGGCUAUCAAUGUGCUAAAUGCGGUUCUGAGCAUGGUGUGCCCUUUAAAUGCCAGCAGUGUUCCUUCACGUGUUGCAACAAAUGUUGGGAGAAUGCCUUGAAGCUUGCCAAGAAGUGCCCAGAAUGCCAAGCGGACACCAAGAGAAGACACUUGGCCAUAUCUUACUGGCCAGAUCCCCCCGUGAAAGGCACGUAGAGUGAACACGUGAACUGUUCAACGGGUUCUACAGGAUGUACGGCUGGCUCCAGCUGCUCUGUGUGGAAGAGGAACAACGAAAUUGCACGUGGUUUUAAGUUAGAUCCUCCAGGCUAACCCACCCGCUUCUUAAGAGAAGCCACACGGUCUUCAACGUGACCAUUCUCCAGAUAUUUGAGCCACUCAAGUGCUCCUGUCUGUUUCAGUCAAUCUAGAUGGCAUUUAAAAUCAGAGUUAAUAUGUUAUUAUCUUUUUCUAAUGAUGACCUUUGCAGUCAGACCGGGUACCACAAAGCCUAUUGUCUUUAUUAUGGAAAAAUUAAAAAGGACUUUCUAAUAACGGAAU